UAGUAUUUAGGGAUUUUCUAGAAUCUAGG
Molecule: non-coding RNA, 29 nt
Filed under: Mus musculus (house mouse)
Lineage: Eukaryota; Metazoa; Chordata; Mammalia; Rodentia; Muridae
Source: RNAcentral